RNA transcript from Cervus elaphus (red deer), 2107 nucleotides. It is a transcript of the gene named GPI ethanolamine phosphate transferase 1-like, with no coding region annotated. NCBI's taxonomy places the organism in Eukaryota, Metazoa, Chordata, Mammalia, Artiodactyla, Cervidae. The transcript is spliced from 12 exons. The record is from RefSeq and is a predicted model, not a curated record.
UUUCGUGGUUGGGGGGCGUUUGUGAUGGUGGCUUAGGAAGCUUCUCUUCUGGGCUGGAGAGGAGCUCUGACUCGCAGCCGGGCCCCGCCUUCGCGCUGACGAGACCUCGUUCCCGAGGUCAGGCCUGACCUGCUCAAGCCCAGAGAGUUGUAAGAAGUGGGAUAUAGAAGUUCUUCCUUGAUAAGCAGCUUCCUAUGACACAUCUGUAAUUCCCUGGUUCUACCUCAUAUCCUGUAAUCAUGGACUUGUUAAUGUGACCUUCCAAGCCGCUAACAAAUCAACUGGCCAGUUGUCUCAGAAUGUCAUAAUGAACGAAGGCAGCUGGGGCAUCUCUCACACACGUGUGCCGACCGAGUAUCGGCCCGGGCACGUGACCAUGAUUGCAGGGUUUUAUGAAGAUGUCAGCGCAGUUGCCAAAGGAUGGAAGGAAAAUCCUGUAGAAUUUGAUUCUGUUCUUAAUGAAACCAGGUACACAUGGUCCUGGGGAAGCCCAGACAUCGUGACCGUUUACCAAAGGUGACCUUGGAAACCAUAAUUUUGCACACACUUACGAUGCUUCCAGUGAGGAUUUUGGUGCCCACGAUGUAACACAACUGGACACGUGGGUUUUUGAUCAUGUGAAGAUAUGUGCUAUUGAGUGGCUAACCUGUAACACACUAGAUGCAGGAAUUCUUUCAUGCCGCCAGAAACAACCAAUCUUUGUUUUCUAAAGUAAAUGAAGACAAAAUAGUUUUUUUCUUACAUUUAUUAGGAAUAGACACAAAUGGACAUGCUCAUUGACCAUCAUCAAGGCUCCCUUGGAGCUGGUCAUCCUUUAGAGACUUGUACUCCUUUUAUCACUUGGGGAGCUGGAAUCAGGCUUCCCCAAAAAGUGUCAGCUCGGAAAUUUGAUGACUCAUAUUUGCAAGAAUGGAAGUUGGAGAACUGGAAGAGACAAGAUAUUAAUCAGGCUGAUGUUGCACCAUUGAUGGCAGCUCUUAUUGGAGUUCCCUUCCCUCUUAAUUCAGUGAUAAAGAGUACAAUCUUCUUAUCAACUCUCAGAAUAAAAGAAAAAUUAUCGAAAUCAUUCCUGUGGACAUACUUAAUACCUCCGAUCUCUUCAAAGCAGAGAGCAUGUUUGCAAAUGCAGUACAGAUUCUUGAACAGUUCAAGGUAAAAAUGACUCGGAAAAAAGAAGCUACUUUAUCAUUUUUGUUUACACCAUUGAAAAGAUACACAGGCUAUUGAAAAUAACAGUCACCUAGGAUCAGCAACUUUAUCAGGGAGAUGCUCUUCUGCAGGAGGCUCAAGCGCACGUUGCCUGUCUUCUUCCCCUCGGCCGGGAGCUGACCGUGACCCUGCCCUGCUCUGAAGCUCAACACCUGCCUGGGAGCUGCUGCUACCUUUGUGCCAGCUGGGGGCCCGACAGAAGGGCUGAUUCUCAUCCAUUGGCUCACCCGUCCUGCCUGCAAACUUGUCUGGCUGAAAAGCACCAUUUGUCGAAAGCCUGCAGCGUGACCAAAAAAGCCCCAAGAUAAAAAAUUAACUUAUGAGGAAAUCGAUCAUUGAAGGAAUAGCAAAGGACUAAAAAUAUUAAAAUCCUGAAAUCCUCAGAAGUAUCUGAGAAGCUGUUUUACCUAUAAAACAAAAAGUGGCACAAACUUUACAAAAGGAGAAGUACAGGGUGCAUUGUUUAAAAAUGGGAAAUGUGUCUAAAACCUCAUGGAACGAUCAAUUGUAUAGGAAUGAGCCAAAGGGGAGGCCAGUCCUCCAAAUUAGAAGAGCAAGUAGACCUCAAAUGAGGUGAAAUGAGUUUUCAGUAAUAUACCGAUUGAUGAGGAGCUAAGGAAACCCUGGAAGGCAUCAUUUCUUCACCCCCCUUGCGAAGGAAACUUUAGGAAAAGGAAACGUUUCAAACUGUACAAGAAAGCACCCUUGCAGCAUGCAGCAACGGAAGACGUGAUGCGAUUUGGAACAAUUGAGGCAGACACCUUGAUCAGAGCAGACACAGGGAGGGGUUCAUUUCUGUAAUGGCAAGCUGAGAGUUGAGAACAGUGGGGCAGGGAUUUACUGGUUGUCAUUAUGCCCCUCUGUACUGUUUAUUAUUAUUAAAAAUUAUAUCUGUCUA